GGCUUGUGCUUUUUGACCCCUAUCCCUCGCAAUAAUUAAGUCAUUUUCUCUCCUUCUCACUCUGCUCUCUCAACCCGACCUGGAACCCGCGACUUGUGCUUUUUGACCUCUAUCCCUCACAAUUAUCCUUCUCAUCAGCUCUCUCAGAUCUCGAUUCUCACUCUCUCGAUUCUUCUUCUUAACCUCUCCUUCUUCUUCUUGGUCUCUAUUUCAUCUUUCGCGUCCGGAUUAUGGAGCUCUCCAGCAACCAGUAGAGCACUCUAGAAAAAUUAGGCUUCUUCGCUAUUUAGGUUCUUCCAUUUGUGGGCUUCUCGAUUUGGGGAUUUCACGGGUACUCAAUUAGCCACUUCGACAAUCCAAUCUUGCUUAGAUUCAUUCAGUUUACUUUGACAUCCAUAGCUGGUGAGUUAAAUUCGAGAUUUUAGAUUAGGGUUUUGAUUAUUUGGCAAAAUUUAAGAAAUCUGGUGUUUUCGUUUGUGUUUAAUCUGAGAGUGGACAUUGGGGCUUGCUAAAUCAAAUCAAAAUUAUUCUGUCAUGGUCUCAGAGGAUGGAACUGCUCCGGCUACUACACGAAUGGGAGGCGUUCUAGAGGCAAUCCAGAUUCAAGAGAAUUUUUGUGUUUAGUGGGAGCAGUCUGGUUAUAGAAGAACAUUUAAUAUUUUUGUACAUAGGGAGAGGGAAUUUCAGUAGCAAGAUGAUCGAUUUAGCUAUGAAGACCACCUCAAACUCUUCGUCGACAACUCUAGAUCGAUCAAGACCAAGCUUACAGUUCAGUAAUCAAUGGUGUUUCUAUUCAUGUUAUUAGUUAACUGAUAAAGAUAAAGCCUUUAACCCUCUUAAUAUGUUCUUUAAUUUUCUAGGAUUAUUCAUAUGAUAUGAAGUAGAGUAUUCACAAUUGUGUUGGGCUUUGAUUUUUGAGUGUGCUUUUGUUUUCAAUGGGAUUUCCUAUUGGUGGUGGCAUCAAAAUGAUUUUGUUUUUGGUUUUUGUUUUACUGAAAUUGGGAGGUUGCUGUUAGCCUAAUCGCCAAAUUCAAAACCACCGGAAGUAGAUCUUGGUAAGGAGAAAUGUCUUUAAUAAUCUGCCAUCUUCAACCCAACUCAACUCAGGCAGUUUCUUUGUCCAUCUUCAGUAGAUCUUGGUAAGGAGAAAUUUCUUGGUAAGGCAUUUUCUUUCUCCAUCUUCAGCAGAUCUUGGUAAGGAGAAAUUUCUUGCUAAGGCAUUUUCUUGAUCUGCUGAAGGAGAAAUUUCUUGUUGAGGCACUUUCUUUCUCCAUCUUCAGCAGAUCUUGGUAAGGCAUUUUCUUUCUCCAUCUUCAGCAUUUCCAUCAACAACCCAACUUAGGCAUCCUCUUCCUCCUCCUCCUUCUACAUUAGGUAAAGGUCAUUUUUCAUGUUUGCUUUGCUAAGUUCUUUGUUUUGAUUUCUAGGAAUUUGCUAGAAAAUUUUUUGACAUUGGAAUUUAGCAAUAGGUGGUUAACCAUAUAUAGCCAAUAAGUGGAUGCGUUGAGAGUGUGGUUUUGAUAUGGGUUUCAAAGUUUUUGACCGUUUGUGUUUGAAUGCCACUCCUUGAAAUUGGUAUCAUGUGUUCACUUACUAGUAAGCAUAAUAUUUUGAGCACUUUCAGUACUAGUAGAAUUGUGUUUUCUUGUGUCUUGUGUUUGAGUAAUAAAGUCUAGAAUGAGAUGAGAUGAGAAUGUCUUGAGAGUGUAAGUAACAAGGUUUUAGAUAGUCUGAUGUUGUAGGACAUAAUGAAAGAGAUGUAAAUAAGGAUAUAGUCAGUGACUGAUUUACACCAUCCCCUAAAAGAUAUUAAUUGUGUACAAAAAAUAUAUGAAUAAGGGAUAGUUUACUCCCAUUUUCUCCAUUUUCGGUACCCUAAUUUGCAGUCUUGAUGCUUCAUGAGCAAGCAGCUCCUGUAGUUACUUAAAGAAUGCUAGCUACAUAUACUUUGACUCCAACUACUUGAAGUUUGACAAGUUCGAUGAUCUUUGCCCGGUUGCACUUGUUAAAGAGUUAACUGAGAGAGGUGGUUACAUGGACCCUUGAAGCUAUGUGACGCACCAGGAAUAAGAGGUGCCUACGGGUGUAUGUCAAUAAGGAUAUAGGCAUUGAACAAGGGGACAUCUACAAUCAUUUUGUAAGUGAUGCAACUGGCCGGAGGAGCAACUCUAUGCAAACAGAGAUAGGUACUCCAGCUGAUCCCUUCCCAGCAAGGUUUGUUUACUUAUUUCUUUUAAAAUAAUGCACAUAUAUAAGAGAUCAUCAAGAUUGGGAAUCAAGAAGGGGGGAUUUGCAACAUAUUUGGGAUCGGUAAGGUGAGUAUUACAUAUUUCCUUAUAGCUUCCUCUCUUUAUUGGUUUUUUUUUUUUUUUUGGCUUUUCUGCAGUAGGUGUCUCUUGAUUUAUUUACCUUAACUCUUGUCUUAUAAGUUUUUUAAGCAUUCUCUCUCGUUAGGUGGGACUAGUUGUAGCAUUGCAAUGUGGUCAUUAAAUUUUUUUUUUUUUUUUUGAGUGCAAGGUUUAGAGUUGGUUAGGGUUUUCUGAAACAAGAAUUAUUACUUAUGAUAUGAUGAAUUUUGUUGACCAUUCAGAGUUUGAGUUUUUGCAUCGUAACACAGGGAAUAGAAGUUUUGUUUGAUGUUAGAAAGGGUUAGAGUUGGUUAGUGAAACAAGAUUUAGUAUCAAUGUAAAAACAGUAAGAUGAAUGAGCAGCCUUUUAGUUUUAACUUGUAAUGCAGUAGAUAAAGCUUUUGUUUGCUGUUAGAAAUGAAUUAUAUGGUUAACCAAAAUUGUAUUGUUUAUAAUGAAUUUAACUAGUACUGGAUGCAUCUAUAAAUGGUAUUUUCUGUAUCAGAAUUUUUACCACUGACUGUGUUUGUCCUUCAGGCUUGUAACUUUAUUAUUAUUUAAUUACCAGGGAUUUAUUUUGGUUGUUUUCAGGGGUCGGAAUUCAUGGUGUCCUACUUUUCAUAACAUUGAUUGGAAAGAUGUUUGUGAACCUUGGUUCAGCGGGGAGUGGUCUAGCUUUAUGCAGAGAAGGUCCUCUCGAUAAUUGUCCUUUAAUGAUAAUUAUUCUUUGUUUCCAGAGAACGGGGGAAGGAGGAGGAGGAGGAGGAGGAGGAGGAGGAGGAGGAUCCGACCAACAGCAGAGAGUUUCUCCACUGUUUGAGAUUUGCAAUCGACAUCAAUCCGGACAAAGAUUGGGUGAAGGAAUGCAUGUCAGCCUUGCUGCGUUUUGCGAAGAGGCCUCAUUUGAGCGAGCAAAAAAAUGGGUGCUAGAACUGAAAUCACAAGGGCUGUAAGACAUCUCUUUGUGCUGGCUUGUUGUAAGAAAAUGGAUCCUUAUUUACUGGCUAUCAUUUUCAUGGAUGCCCACAAUAGCAAAGACAAAUUUAAUCAUGCUUUGGGUUAUGCAUAUAUACUCACGCACCCCGGAAUACCUUCCGUCUUCGAUGACCACUUCUAUGAUUCGGGUGAUUCCAUUCAUGAUCAGAUUGUGAAACUGGUACAGCAGUAUGGCUAGCUAGUUCUUUUAUUAACUUGUGUCUAGUAGAAAUUCUUCCUUCUUUAAGCAUUUGGACUUGUCUGCAUGUCCAGAUUAGUAGAUAUGGGUCAUUUUGAAUUGAUAUUCAUGAUUAGGUUUGUGUACAUGAGACAAUGGUGGAUUAAUGGAAAUUGUAAUGACUGAUUUUGGAUGUA
Long non-coding RNA from Rosa rugosa (rugosa rose), 3698 nucleotides. RefSeq lists it as uncharacterized. NCBI's taxonomy places the organism in Eukaryota, Viridiplantae, Streptophyta, Magnoliopsida, Rosales, Rosaceae. The record is from RefSeq and is a predicted model, not a curated record. The transcript has 10 exons.